UGCUAAUAAAAAAGGGAUUAGCAAGUGAAUGUCUCUUCCGCUAAAUUUGGAGAGAGAGACAGAGACAAUGGCGUCCACAGGAAUGGCGAAAUCAAAGGGGAGUUUCUACGUCACUCGAUCACACGCCAUGAGAGAGAGAGAGAGAGAAAUCAUUUUUCACCUUUGCGUUUGGAGAUUCAGGAGAAAGAAGAAGAAUCGAUCACGUCCAUGAAAUUUGAACCUCGCCGGUUAGGUGUUCUCUUCUAAGAUUCGUUUUCUCCAAAGGUCUUAACUUUCUUCCCAGAUUCGUCUUUUUGAAUGGUAGCUUAUCAUCAGCUGAAUUGGUAGAAAGAAUCUUGAGGAAUGGGUGAAAACAUAUUGGUGGAUUCUCAUGUUUGGGUGGAGGACCCGGAGACAGCAUGGACUCAUGGGGUUGUGCUUAAUAUCAAGGGAGACGAAGCUGAGGUUAAAACCAAUUAUGGUAAAGAGGUUAUUGCUAAACUAUCAAAACUCUAUCCAAAAGACGCUGAAGCUCCUUCAGAGGGAGUAGAGGAUAUGACAAGAUUAUCUUAUCUCCAUGAACCUGCAGUUCUCGACAACUUGGCCACCAGAUAUGGACUGAAUGAAAUUUAUACUUAUACAGGAAACAUUCUUAUUGCUGUCAAUCCCUUUCAAGGACUCCCUCAUCUUUAUGAUGCUGAGGUUAUGGAGAAGUACAAGGAAGCCUCCUUCAAAGAAUUGAGUCCUCAUGUUUUUGCAAUUGGCGGCAUUGCAUAUAGGGAAAUGAUCAAUGAGGACAGGAAUAAAUGUAUAUUGGUCAGUGGUGAAAGCGGGUCUGGAAAAACGGAAACGACUAAGAUGCUCAUGCGUUACCUUGCGUACUUUGGCGGGCAUACUGCAGGUGAAGGAAGAACCGUUGAAAACCAAGUCUUAGAAUCAAAUCCAGUUCUCGAGGCAUUUGGAAAUGCGAAGACUGUUAAGAACAACAAUUCCAGUCGUUUUGGGAAAUUUGUUGAGAUUCAGUUUGAUGACGUGGGUCGAAUAUCUGGGGCAGCCAUCAGAACCUACCUUUUGGAGAGGUCUCGUGUUUGCCAAGUUUCAGAUCCUGAGCGUAACUAUCACUGCUUUUACCUCCUGUGUGCUGCUCCUCCAGAGGAUGUUGAGAGGUUUAAAUUGGGGGACCCUAAGUCGUUUCGGUAUCUUAAUCAAUCUAGCUGCUACGAACUUGAUGGUGUAAACGAUGCAGAGGAGUAUAUUGCUACUAGAAGAGCUAUGGAUGUAGUUGGAAUAAGUGAAACAGAACAGGAUGCAAUUUUCAGAGUUGUGGCUGCCAUUCUUCAUCUUGGAAAUAUUGAAUUUUGCAAGGGAGAAGAUGCUGAUUCAUCAUCUCUAAAGGAUGAACAGUCAAUGUUUCAUCUCCAAAUGACAUCAGAACUGCUCAUGUGUGAUCCCCAUUCCUUAGAAGAUGCUUUGUGUAAGCGUAUGAUGGUCACCCCAGAAGAAGUUAUUAAAAGAAGUCUUGAUCCUCUUGGUGCUGCCGUAAGUAGGGAUGGCUUAGCAAAAACAAUAUACUCUAGACUCUUUGAUUGGUUGGUAAACAAAAUAAAUAUCUCCAUCGGACAAGAUUCUCACUCUAGGCGCUUGAUCGGAGUCCUUGACAUUUAUGGUUUUGAGAGCUUUAAAACCAACAGCUUUGAACAAUUCUGUAUCAACUACACUAAUGAAAAGCUGCAACAGCAUUUCAACCAGCACGUAUUCAAAAUGGAACAAGGUGAAUAUGAGAAAGAAGAAAUAGAUUGGAGCUAUGUGGAGUUUGUUGAUAACAAAGAUGUCGUGGAUCUGAUUGAAAAGAAGCCCGGUGGUAUCAUUGCUCUUCUAGAUGAAGCAUGCAUGCUACCCAAAUCAACUCCUGAAACAUUUUCUGAGAAGCUGUAUCAAACAUUCAAGAAUCAUAAGCGCUUCAUAAAACCAAAACUGACUCGAUCAGAUUUUACUUUAGUUCAUUAUGCAGGGGAGGUUCAGUACCAGUCCGAUCAAUUUUUGGACAAAAACAAAGACUAUGUUGUUGCCGAGCAUCAGGAUUUGUUAAAUGCUUCCAAAUGUUCUUUUGUGUCAGGCCUUUUUCCUCCUCUUCCUAAAGCGAGUAGCAAAUCUAAGUUUUCCUCCAUUGGCGCUCGUUUCAAGCUACAAUUGCAACAGCUGAUGGAGACACUGAAUCUUACGGAACCGCACUACAUCAGAUGUGUUAAGCCAAACAAUUUGUUGCAGCCGACAGUCUUUGACAAUGCCAAUGUCUUGCAUCAGUUACGCUCUGGGGGUGUUCUUGAGGCCAUCAGAGUGAAAUGCGCUGGAUAUCCAACAAAUAGGACUUUCAUUGAAUUCUUAAAACGGUUUAUCAUUCUUGCACCGGAGAUUCUGAAAGGAGAGUAUGAAGCAGGUGUUGCAUGCAAGUGGAUUUUGGACAAAAAGGGGCUUACAGGUUUCCAAAUUGGAAAAAGUAAAGUUUUCCUGAGAGCUGGUCAGAUGGCUGAGCUAGAUGCACACAGAACAAAAGUGCUUGGCGAAGCAGCGAAGAUGAUUCAAGGGCAAGUUAGAACCCGUCUCACAAGAGAACGAUAUGUAAUCUUGCGGAGGGCUUCAGUUAAUAUACAAGCUAAUUGGAGAGCAAACCUUGCACGAAAGAUAUCAAGGUACAUGAGAAGGGAGGAAGCUGCCAUCAAAAUUCAGAAAAACUUACGUAGACAGAUUGCAAUUAAAGAUUAUGGGAAUACCAAAUCUUCGGCUGUCACACUGCAAAGUGGACUCCGGACAAUGGUUGCACGCCAUGAGUUCCACUAUAAAUUGAAGUCUAAGGCAGCGACUGUGAUCCAGGCUUACUGGCGUGGUUACAGUGCUGUAACUGACUACAAGAAAUUGAAAAAAGCUUCUCUUGUUUAUCAAAGUAAACUCAGAGGAAGAAUUGCCAGAAAACAGUUGGGACAGUCAAAUCAGGCUGAGAAAAAGAAAGAGACAGAACAUGAAAGAGAGGUGGAACUUUCCAAUGGAGCAGAAGAGGCAGUUGAUAAGUCCUUUGUAAAGCAUUCAGAUGAAAGUGAUGAUGAAGAGGUGGGACAUGAAAGAGAGACAACACAUUCAAUCCAAGCUGAUGAUGGAAUUGAAAAAUCAUUGGUAAAGCAUUCAGAGGACAGUGAUGAUGAGGAGAUAGGACGUGAAAGAGACACAACACAUUCCAUCCAAGCCGAUGAUGGCAUUGAAAAAUCCGUUGUAAUGCAAUCAGAGCAUAGUAGUGAUGAAGAGAAAGGACAGACAGAACAUACCAUCCAAGCAAAUGAUGGAAUUGAAAACCCCUUUGUUCUCGAUUCAGAGAACCUUUACAACAACUUCUCUGAUGUAAGCCAUAUAACGAACCCUUUUCGUGAUACAGAAAUUGAGUCCCUCACUGCUGAAGUUGAGAUGUUGAAGGCCUUGUUGCAAGUUGAGAAACAAAGAGCUGACAUCUCCGAAAGAAAGUGUGAUGAAGCUCGAGAACUUGGUGAGAGAAGACGCAAACGAUUAGAAGAAACAGAAAGAAGAGUUUACCAACUACAAGACUCUUUAAACAGUGUAUUCCAGGUUGUUAUAUUCUAUGUCAGACCAAUUCUCGCAAUUGAAGUCCAUCCUGAGAUCUCCUUCUAUGUCUUCAACGGUGGCUGCUUCAGCGCCAGUUGUACGUGAUGAUCUUGCUGACAGCUCUGAGAACUCUGAAGCUUCAUCAACUGAUUCUGAUUUCACUUUUCCAGCUCCAUCUUCUUCUUCUCCAGAUAAUCCAAAUCAGCUGCAGGUUAUUGUUCAAGAUCUAUCAACCACAGAGGCCAAAGGUCAGUGAACAAUAAAUAUUGCAGGAACGGAGAUUAAGAAGGAAGGGGGAUUUGAAGAUUACUUUUGAUGAUGAAACGCCGUUUUUGAUAUCUUCACCAGAUGUUUUUGGAGUGCUGCUAAUCUCUUUACUCGAUUGUUGACCCAAAGGGCAAUUGUUUUAGUGUUUACAAUUAGUACAGACUCCAGUUACAGUUUUCUCAUAAUUAGAUGCUGCAAUAACUGUUUAGAUAUUAGGUUCUGUGUUUAAUACAUACAAAAGCCAUAUUUGUUUCUUCAACUAAUACAAUUGCUACUUAAUUCUAGAAUUAUUCAUUUGCUUU
Molecule: RNA transcript, 4157 nt
Organism: Brassica rapa (field mustard)
Lineage: Eukaryota; Viridiplantae; Streptophyta; Magnoliopsida; Brassicales; Brassicaceae
Gene name: myosin-16
Source: RefSeq, a predicted model, not a curated record